UGCCAGCCGCCGCGGUAAUACAGAGGUCCCAAGCGUUGUUCGGAUUUACUGGGCGUAAAGGGUGCGUAGGUGGUAGGGUAAGUUUGAUGUGAAAUCUCCGGGCUCAACCCGGAAACUGCAUUGAAUACUAUCAUACUAGAGGGCUGGAAGGGAGACUGGAAUUCUCGGUGUAGCAGUGAAAUGCGUAGAUAUCGAGAGGAACACCAGUGGCGAAGGCGAGUCUCUGGACAACACCUGACACUGAGGCACGAAGGCUAGGGGAGCAAACAGGAUUAGAUA
Molecule: ribosomal RNA, 279 nt
Filed under: uncultured bacterium
Lineage: Bacteria
Description: partial 16S ribosomal RNA
Rfam family: Bacterial small subunit ribosomal RNA
Source: RNAcentral